This 155-nucleotide unclassified non-coding RNA is filed under the name uncultured Hymenogaster. RNAcentral's name for it is "sequence contains ITS2". Lineage: Eukaryota; Fungi; Basidiomycota; Agaricomycetes; Agaricales; Hymenogastraceae. The record is from RNAcentral.
AAUUCUCAACCUUUAUCAUUGAUAAAUGGCUUGGAUUGUGGGGGUUGCUGGCUUUUGAGGUCAGCUCCCCUUAAAUGCAUUAGCUGGUGCCGGUAUUGGUGUGAUAAUUAUCUACGCCGUGGAUGUAGCACUGCUUCUAACGACAAUAAAUGACA